Molecule: ribosomal RNA, 433 nt
Filed under: uncultured bacterium
Lineage: Bacteria
Description: partial 16S ribosomal RNA
Rfam family: Bacterial small subunit ribosomal RNA
Source: RNAcentral
AACGAACGCUGGCGGCAUGCCUAACACAUGCAAGUCGAACGAGACCUUCGGGUCUAGUGGCGCACGGGUGCGUAACGCGUGGGAACCUGCCCUUAGGUUCGGAAUAACUCCCCGAAAGGGGUGCUAAUACCGGAUAAUGUCUUCGGACCAAAGAUUUAUCGCCUUUGGAUGGGCCCGCGUUGGAUUAGCUAGUUGGUAGGGUAAAAGCCUACCAAGGCGACGAUCCAUAGCUGGUCUGAGAGGAUGAUCAGCCACACUGGGACUGAGACACGGCCCAGACUCCUACGGGAGGCAGCAGUGGGGAAUAUUGGACAAUGGGCGAAAGCCUGAUCCAGCAAUGCCGCGUGAGUGAUGAAGUCCUUAGGGUUGUAAAGCUCUUUUACCCGGGAUGAUAAUGACAGUACCGGGAGAAUAAGCGCCGGCUAACUCCGUG